This is a small nuclear RNA of Myotis myotis, 182 nucleotides long. RefSeq annotates it as U2 spliceosomal RNA. The record is from RefSeq and is a predicted model, not a curated record. Lineage: Eukaryota; Metazoa; Chordata; Mammalia; Chiroptera; Vespertilionidae. The transcript has a single exon.
AUCGCUUCUCGGCCUUUCGGUAAGAUCAAGUGUAGCGUCUGUUCCUAUCAGUUCAGUAUCUGGCACGUCCUCCAUCCCAGGGCAAUGUAGUAAAUGGGUUUUUGAAGCUGGGAGGUGGAGUAGGGGCUUACUCCGCGCAUCGGCCCGGGUGUUGCAGGGCCUCCGGGAUCGGUGCACCCCCU